Molecule: transfer RNA, 76 nt
Filed under: Dissulfurirhabdus thermomarina
Lineage: Bacteria; Pseudomonadati; Thermodesulfobacteriota; Dissulfuribacteria; Dissulfuribacterales; Dissulfuribacteraceae
Description: tRNA-Phe
Rfam family: tRNA
About the family: Transfer RNA (tRNA) molecules are approximately 80 nucleotides in length. Their secondary structure includes four short double-helical elements and three loops (D, anti-codon, and T loops).
Source: RNAcentral
GCCGAGAUAGCUCAGUUGGUAGAGCAGAGGACUGAAAAUCCUCGUGUCGGCGGUUCGACUCCGUCUCUCGGCACCA